AUGUGCGCCUUUAGUGUUAUUGUGACGUGGUCUAGUGGUGAGAGGCUCUAGUUUAAAACGCCUGGACCUGGGUUCGAGUAGAUUAGGCGCUUGUUUUGUCUCUUUUUUAAAAAAUGAGGUUAAAUGAUUUGGAAAUGACGAAAUUAACCUUAUCUUCUACCUUUCAAUGUGAUAUCUCUGCAACCUCUGGCCGCUUUUUAAUUUUUUUUUUCUCGAUUUCACAGAUCUUUCUCACUAUUCUUGUAUGUUUUAGUGAAAAUACAUCAAAUCUAAGACACGCUUGCGAUAUC
This 290-nucleotide long non-coding RNA is filed under the name Brassica rapa (field mustard). Its description in RNAcentral is "long non-coding RNA (BRAP_LNC007205)". Lineage: Eukaryota; Viridiplantae; Streptophyta; Magnoliopsida; Brassicales; Brassicaceae. The record is from RNAcentral.